AGACAAAUGUAUAAGAAAGCCCACAUGCAUUCCUUGGAAAAUCUGAACAAAAUGAGUGAGAACUCACUACCGUCUCCUCAUCGAAAAUGAGGUCC
Molecule: small nucleolar RNA, 95 nt
Filed under: Cervus hanglu yarkandensis (Yarkand deer)
Lineage: Eukaryota; Metazoa; Chordata; Mammalia; Artiodactyla; Cervidae
Description: Small nucleolar RNA SNORD116 (ENSCHYG00000023952.1)
Rfam family: Small nucleolar RNA SNORD116
About the family: HBII-85 is a member of the C/D class of snoRNAs, which contain the C (UGAUGA) and D (CUGA) box motifs. HBII-85 is encoded in a tandemly repeated array with another C/D snoRNA, HBII-52, in the Prader-Willi syndrome (PWS) region of chromosome 15.
Source: Rfam by way of RNAcentral